UAGGGAAUCUUCGGCAAUGGGGGCAACCCUGACCGAGCAACGCCGCGUGAGUGAAGAAGGUUUUCGGAUCGUAAAGCUCUGUUGUAAGAGAAGAACGUGUGUGAGAGUGGAAAGUUCACACAGUGACGGUAACUUACCAGAAAGGGACGGCUAACUACGUGCCAGCAGCCGCGGUAAUACGUAGGUCCCGAGCGUUGUCCGGAUUUAUUGGUCGUAAAGCGAGCGCAGGCGGUUUACUAAGUCUGCAGUUAAAGGCAGUGGCUUAACCAUUGUUCGCUUUGGAAACUGUUAAACUUGAGUGCAGAAGGGGAGAGUGGAAUUCCAUGUGUAGCGGUGAAAUGCGUAGAUAUAUGGAGGAACACCGGUGGCGAAAGCGGCUCUCUGGUCUGUAACUGACGCUGAGGCUCGAAAGCGUGGGGAGCAAACAGG
RNAcentral lists this ribosomal RNA (429 nucleotides) under bacterium. RNAcentral's name for it is "partial 16S ribosomal RNA". It matches the Rfam family "Bacterial small subunit ribosomal RNA", at positions 355 to 776 of the family's 1533-position model. The record is from RNAcentral.